Molecule: unclassified non-coding RNA, 238 nt
Filed under: fungal sp.
Lineage: Eukaryota; Fungi
Description: partial internal transcribed spacer region
Rfam family: Eukaryotic small subunit ribosomal RNA (bases 1-46)
Source: RNAcentral
AAGUCGUAACAAGGUUUCCGUAGGUGAACCUGCGGAAGGAUCAUUACUGCUUGCUCACGAUGCCGCCCAGGAAACUGGGCGGGGUCGAGCAUGUUACCCUUGCCUUUUGUACCCUUUGUUAAUUCCCUCGGCGGGGCAUACCCGCCGCUAGGAACCACUAAACCCUCUUGUAUGAAGCAUCAAAACUUCUGAGCAAACCAAAUAAUCACAACUUUCAACAAUGGAUCUCUUGGUUCUG